This is a long non-coding RNA of Dicentrarchus labrax (European seabass), 1486 nucleotides long. RefSeq lists it as uncharacterized. The record is from RefSeq and is a predicted model, not a curated record. The transcript has 2 exons. Lineage: Eukaryota; Metazoa; Chordata; Actinopteri; Moronidae.
CAUAGGCAAAACUUGUUUGAGCUAGCUUUAGGUUUUGGUAGCUAACAGGCUUAGCUUUCCGUCCGAUAAUGGAUUCAGAGCUGGGACUCAGUAAAACCCUAUCGACCUAGAAAUGUACAGACCUAUGUGACGAUAACAAACGGCAGACAUAUUGUUUCAGUACAGUAGUAUUCAAAGACUGCUAUUACAUUAUUUAACGGGCUGUAAUCUCGACACAACGAACACACCUAACGAGGACUAAACGUUGUCAGACGACUGGAGCAAAUUCAUCAACGUUUUCAAAUGAAUGUUGACUCGAGAACUAUGAAAUAAAGGCCAUUGUCGCCUACCUUGCAUGCUGCUGCUCUGUGUCUGCUGGUGGAAAUGGUGCGACGUGGAUCCUACAAUGUUGCUGGAGCUUGUGGAGUUGCUGUCAGGACUGGGAGUCGCCAUUGUUGUGUUGGAUUCCGGCAGCGCUCAGGCUGCAAUGCAGAGAGUGAAACUUCGCCCGCUCUGCCUCCAGACGGGACACUGCGCCACUUGAACGCAGCAGCUGCACCACGGCCACGUCUGUGCCGCUGCCGCCUUCGCGGCCUGUCGGAAAUGCAGUAAAUCACCACUUCACAGCGCUAUGUUUGACAUGUUUCUGUCUCUUGUGCAAACCGACACACUACAUAAUAUACCUCCCUCUAUAUAUCAUCAUGUUGACACAUCUGAGAGGUGCUGAAAAUAUUGAUAUUUUUAAACCUAAACUAAAAAACAUCUAUUCAUUUGUUUUAACAUUUUACUGUUGACCAUUAUUUCUUUUUUUAAUUUUGUCUAUUUUUUUUAUCACCAUUUACUCUUAGCCAUUGUUUUACUGUUUUAUUAUUAGCAAUAUAUUUAUUAUUAGCAAUAUUAUAAAAUAUUGUAUUGUCUUAUUUAAUUACAUUUUUUGGUGUGUGUCAGUCUAAAUCCUUUUUUAACAAUCUGUUUUGUCAGUCUCUUGUAAAGCACUUUGAUUUGCAUUUAAUCGUAUUGUAUACUGUAUCACUAUUUGCAUGUAUUUAAUGUGAGUUCACUUUUGACCUUUGAAAUUGUAAUUUGACAAAAUAACCAAACUCAAGGUCCACUUGCUCACUAAAGUAGAGGUUUCAGUCUCAUCGCAUGGUCAGUGGAUGGAGUUUGCUCAGUUGCCAUGGCGAUUAUGGAGAUAUAUAAGGGAAUGCUAUUUACAAUACCUGUUGUCACAUGUCCAUACUCAGAUAACUCCACCUGCUGAUGAAGGCUGAGAUGCAGAAGCUCCAGAAAAAGCUAGCAAGCUGACUUUGAGUUAACUUUUUGUCUCAUACGUAUUUUUAGCCCCCUCCAUAACAUCUCUUCCUGUCUGUCACGUCAAUAUCAUUUUUGUCUAAGUUGUAGUUUUUGGCAUUAUUUUAAUGUUUAUGUGUCUAAGUGUGUUUAACACUUUUCAGUUGAUUGUAUCACCACUUUUUCAUCUGCAAGUAAAAACUCACACAUUAAUGUA